Long non-coding RNA from Scylla paramamosain (green mud crab), 684 nucleotides. RefSeq lists it as uncharacterized. The transcript is spliced from 3 exons. The record is from RefSeq and is a predicted model, not a curated record. NCBI's taxonomy places the organism in Eukaryota, Metazoa, Arthropoda, Malacostraca, Decapoda, Portunidae.
UUUUUUUUUUUUUUUGUAGGAACCACGUAUCUCACACUGAAACCGUUUCGAAUUGUGCAACAUAAGGAGAUGGUUCGGCAUUGAGAUGGUGCUUUAUCCACUAGUGCGCUCGAGCGGUGCUUCUUGAAAAGGUGGAAAGCGACGGCGGUUCGGAAUCGACAUCGGUAUUGGUUGUUGCGAGGAAUAUUCUAACAGCAGAGGUAAUCCCUGAAGCACCGCGGCCCCGGUUAAACGUCGAGGGGAUGGCACUCGAGGCCGACGUUGUGGAUGGCGGUGUCUAAACAAAACGCCCUUGGAAGAUAUGAUGGGCAACGAAUCCUCCCUGAAUAAAUCCCCAAAUAAGGCAGGCGUUCCACAAAUACGUUGGGAGAUCCUCCAUUAGCUACGAAGCUGUGUUUCAGAAUGGAUGUCCUUGCAUCAGGCGUCCUACUUCACCUUGUAAACGGAUUGUUGCAUUGGGAGAUUAGAUGUUACAUUCUGACCUGGUCUUCCUCGUAGACCGGCCAGCUGCCACAGUCCUCACAGGACUUCCAACCUCUUACCCCUCCCCCACCAGCCCUGCUAUCUUGCUUGAGGGAGGUAGGGGUUGUCAAUACAUGCCAUACAAUGUUGUCAUUUUAUUCCUCUGUCCUGUGGAAGUACCCGCUUGUGGUGUCAAUACUGUAUAAUAAAUAAUGAAGUCAA